RNAcentral lists this unclassified non-coding RNA (211 nucleotides) under uncultured fungus. Its description in RNAcentral is "sequence contains ITS1". The record is from RNAcentral. Lineage: Eukaryota; Fungi.
GUUUAAUUUAAUUUCUUAAAUAAUAAGUCAAGUUUAAAAGGUUGAUUCUUGAGGCUGCGUCGAAUACCUUACCAAGCGGUUCGGCAACGGCGCAAAAAUACAUUAUGGUUCACAAAGGUUGUUAAACUACUGGCCAGGUUCUCCCGAAGGAGAUCAACCAACCAAUAGUUAUCAUUUAGUAAUGAUCCAACCGCAGGUUCACCUACGGUUA